GUCCUAGCCUUAAACGAUGAUGACUUGGUGUGUCGGGUUUUCAGUCCCGAUGUGCCGGAGCUAACGCGUUAAGUCAUCCGCCUGGGGAGUACGGUCGCAAGACUGAAACUCAAAGGAAUUGACGGGGACCCCGCACAAGCGGUGGAGCAUGUGGUUUAAUUCGACGCAACGCGAAGAACCUUACCUGGGCUAGAAUGUGAGGGAAGACUUGCAAAACAGGUCGUCGAGGGGAAACCUGAGACCCAAAACAAGGUGCUGCACGGCUGUCGU
RNAcentral lists this ribosomal RNA (270 nucleotides) under uncultured bacterium. Its description in RNAcentral is "partial 16S ribosomal RNA". It matches the Rfam family "Bacterial small subunit ribosomal RNA", at positions 793 to 1055 of the family's 1533-position model. The record is from RNAcentral.